AUGCUAAUGGUCCAGAUCCCUCACAGACCCCAGGCCCCUGCCUCUGCUGGGCGGGUCCCACCCUGGAAGGGAAGAUGGGUGAAAUGGCCUCUGGAAGAGGCCUCUUCCCGCCUGGCUCUCCUGGAGGCCUCCGUCUCAGACGAGUGGAAUUGUCAGACUCCAGAUGGGGCAACAGAAAGCGGAGGGCCCAGGUCAGGCCCCCGUCUCCUCUCCCGCCCCUGCAACGUCAGAGAUGAUCUCCCCACACGGACAAAAAGAAGAAGCUGAUCUUGCUCCUUUUCCACGGAUUGAGCUUUAGAACAUUCUGGGGCUGCCGGAUGCUGUUCAGUGGGUGCUGAGGGGUAGAGACCCUACGGUCUCCCACCGCGAGCCUCGCUGUCCUCCUGCUGCCAGAUUUGCCAGAGAGAAUGCUUGAUGCCGCCGGGCCCUCCCGCCAGGCAGACCUCUGACAAAGUCACCACCAGAGGGGACUUUCAGCCAGGGCUGGCUCCAGUCAGCUUCUGAAACAAGAGGUGCUUUCUUCCUUGCACAACCUUCAGAGAAAAGGGGAACAACUUGACAUCCCAAAGGGCUUCUUGGAAGCAGGGGACAAGGUUAAUCAAGGAAAGAUGGGGCAGGAGGCAUCGAGGGCCCCCUGACUGGUGCUCUGAAGCUUGUGCUUUUUGACUUUGGCUGGGAGAGGGGCAACCAUUUAAGAAAGUGGGUAGGAACAGGGUGAAUAUGGUAUAAUGUAAAUAUAAUGUUUUUAAUUGUUUUCUUUUCACUGGAACUUUCUUUGUGAUAAGUAUAAAAAUAGCACACACACCUUCAGAGAUUCUGCUGCAUCUUGCCCCAGAACGUUGCCCUCUUUGAGAAUUAUUGUUUUUCUGUGUAUCUGCACUAGCUAAGACCAUUUUAUCAAGCCCGACUUACUCUAGUUUUUAUUAUAAAAAAUAAUUUUUAUUUUCCAAAUACAGAAUUAUAGUAUCAUUUGGAUAUGCUUUUUCAAUCUCUGUGUAAAUCCCAAAUUGGAGAUUAAGCUCCCCCAUCCCUCCCCAUUGGAGAAUCACUGAAUCACUGCCCUAAUAUCCAGCACGAGAAAGCAGAAAGCAUUGGCCGUGCUGGGCCGGGACUCUUCCAGGACCCAGUUGUCUCUUGGCCGAGUCGCUCUCCCCAUCCCUCGACAUCAGGGUCUUCUUUGGUCAUUGGGCCCACAGUAAGAAAUUCAGUAAGUAUACGUUGCAUGAAUCUUACACUAUUGAAUUAUCAUCACAUGCUUGGCACAGUGCUAGCACCUGGUGUGUGCCAAGGUACACCUAAGUGUUAGCUGUUGUUCCUAAGCUCCCCGACACGCUGCCUCCUCCACGUGUCCUGUAGUCUGCCCUCUGUUAGGAAGCUCUGGCAGCAAAGAUGCUAAUUUCUUAAGGUGCCCUGGAACAGCUCUCAGCAUCCUCUGUUCCGCAGAACUAUGUGUCACCUCCAGAUGGUGACCAACUGUCCAGAUACCGGCUUCUUUAGGUCAUGUCAGAAGCCUAGUACAGUGCUCACACACAGGAGGGCUCACCGAAUGUUUGUUGAGGGCGUGAGUGGCAGGCCCGGUGCCCUCCACUCAGCAGCCUCUGCGG
This is a long non-coding RNA of Equus caballus (horse), 1604 nucleotides long. The record is from Ensembl. Lineage: Eukaryota; Metazoa; Chordata; Mammalia; Perissodactyla; Equidae.